UCCCUCCUGUCCACAAUCCACGCCCACUGACUCCUCUUCCCCUUCACGCUGCUCCAAUCCCAUCAUGCAGGAAGCGGGGCGUUUGCCCUUUGACCUGUCAGGAAUGUUUUCCUCCUCUGUCCCAGCCGCAGCAGCAGUCACAGCAGGGCUCUCUGACGGUCACAGGCUGAUGGAGUGGAGCCUGUGAAACAACACUGUGACCUACUGCACUGCCCAUCCAUCCACAUACACACCCAUAUAUGUGGAUGGAUGUGCAGCAGAAGGGGAACCAAAUUGUUUUGCGAGUCACAAACCACAGAGACAAUCCCAUGGUGGCCUCCAUCCCAACCACCGCCAUUCUACAUUCCAAAGCAGAGCAUGAUGGGGAACGAACCUGCAUCAAGGAGUCACAAUCACAGAACAACUACGCUACAGUCCCUUCCCACCACCCCCUGUGAGAACGAGUGUCCUGGUUGCCCGUUGUACCACCGCCGCCGAACUAGAUCCACAUGUGAAGCCUGGUGUGAUCACAAUGCUCAGAUGGUUUCAAUGAUUUAUGGUCACACAGUAGACACGAUGGCUGUGUGAUUACAUCUGGCUCCAACAACUCUCUCAGCUAUCGCCACAUCUCACAGGGAAGACUUCCCACAGAACAGCCCUGUUAGCAGCCACACACCACAGGAGGUGAAAGGUGCUUCCCUUCACAGCUGACUGACAUCUGAGAGCUGACACACUAAAAGAAGUACUGUCAUCUUCCAUGGUGCACGACUGAAUGGACCACAUCAUACUGUAUUGCCUAUGUGUGUAAAUAGAAUUUUCCAUUUGUAGUAGUUCCACAUAGCGCAGUUAUAUACCGUUACGAUGUCUGUCUCUUUCCUGUAACAUUUAGCAUCUGUGAUGACCCAUUGUUGUGGUAGAUUUGUAUGAAACUUAACUUAAAAAGUGGAAGCUUGCUAACAAGGCUAACUAGCUUCCACUGAGGAGGUGGAAGUGCAAGCCUAGCUUGCUAACCUUUGUCAGUUUCCUAAGUUGGAAAAGUGUGGGCGAGUGGGUUUACUUCACUCGCAAAAUGAACGUACAUCAUUAACUUACUUACCGUAUGUUACCUUGAAUUUAUGAAGCAAACUUUGUUUUUCUCGCAUGCCUCCACGUGAAUGGAGGAUCCAAAAGAGGCCAACAUCAUUCAUGAACUGAAGAGGGCUAAUCAGGGUCUUCAUUAAAUAACAGCAAAGCUCCAAACGGAAUUCCAAAAAGUUAGGACAUUGUGUAAAACC
This is a long non-coding RNA of Epinephelus moara (kelp grouper), 1253 nucleotides long. RefSeq lists it as uncharacterized. Lineage: Eukaryota; Metazoa; Chordata; Actinopteri; Perciformes; Serranidae. The transcript is spliced from 3 exons. The record is from RefSeq and is a predicted model, not a curated record.